GCUUUUUCUCAGCCCCUUCUUUGGACUCGUGACAGGGGCAAACGUUUACUCAGCCCACCACGCUCAGCCCCUUGCGUGAGGGAGCAUGUGAACGAGCGAGUGCAGGACCCAGCCGGCCGCUCUGGGAGUCGACACAGGAGAAGGCUUCAUGCACAGCCAGACCAGGCAUGAGCCAGCGAGUGCGGGACCCGGCCGGCUGCUCCAGGCGCCGCACAUGGGCAGACUAGGUACAGGUGGAUGAGCUUCGCUGGAGCAGGAAGGCCCUGGUCCUGGCUGAAAGAACACCUAAGACCAAGGAGAGAAUGCAAAAUGAUGAAGCAGGAGCCUGCACCACAACCAGCAGCCAAUCAGAGAGGAAAAGGAACCAAAUGCUGGGCAAUCAAAUGCAAGAAAAAAAGCAGUGAGAUUUUUCAUUGAAAUAAAAAUGCAAAAAAAAAAACAAAAA
This 445-nucleotide long non-coding RNA is filed under the name Homo sapiens (human). Its description in RNAcentral is "HSALNT0151373". The record is from RNAcentral. Lineage: Eukaryota; Metazoa; Chordata; Mammalia; Primates; Hominidae.